AAUAUUGGACAAUGGACGCAAGUCUGAUCCGGCCACGCCGCGUGAGUGAUGAAGGCCUUCGGGUCGUAAAGCUCUGUGGGGAGGGACGAACCGCCGAUGGCUCAUACCCAUCGGCAUGACGGUACCUCCUUAGCAAGCACCGGCUAACUUCGUGCCAGCAGCCGCGGUAAUACGAAGGGUGCAAACGUUGCUCGGAAUCAUUGGGCGUAAAGCGCACGUAGGCGGCUAUCUAAGUCGGAUGUGAAAUCCCUCGGCUUAACCAAGGAAGUGCAUCCGAAACUGGAUAGCUUGAGUACUGAAGAGGAUCGCGGAAUUCCCGGUGUAGAGGUGAAAUUCGUAGAUAUCGGGAGGAACACCAGUGGCGAAGGCGGCGAUCUGGGCAGAUACUGACGCUGAGGUGCGAAAGCGUGGGGAGCAAAC
RNAcentral lists this ribosomal RNA (420 nucleotides) under uncultured bacterium. RNAcentral describes it as "bacterial SSU rRNA". It matches the Rfam family "Bacterial small subunit ribosomal RNA", at positions 360 to 773 of the family's 1533-position model. The record is from RNAcentral.